RNAcentral lists this ribosomal RNA (33 nucleotides) under Plasmodium falciparum 3D7. RNAcentral describes it as "Plasmodium falciparum rRNA LSUB". Lineage: Eukaryota; Apicomplexa; Aconoidasida; Haemosporida; Plasmodiidae. The record is from RNAcentral.
AUGUUUGCUUGGGAGCUGUAAUCAUAAUGUGUU